RNAcentral lists this ribosomal RNA (433 nucleotides) under uncultured bacterium. RNAcentral's name for it is "partial 16S ribosomal RNA". It matches the Rfam family "Bacterial small subunit ribosomal RNA", at positions 28 to 507 of the family's 1533-position model. The record is from RNAcentral.
GACGAACGCUGGCGGCAUGCCUAACACAUGCAAGUCGAACGAGACCUUCGGGUCUAGUGGCGCACGGGUGCGUAACGCGUGGGAACCUGCCCUUAGGUUCGGAAUAACUCCCCGAAAGGGGUGCUAAUACCGGAUAAUGUCUUCGGACCAAAGAUUUAUCGCCUUUGGAUGGGUCCGCGUUGGAUUAGCUAGUUGGUAGGGUAAAAGCCUACCAAGGCGACGAUCCAUAGCUGGUCUGAGAGGAUGAUCAGCCACACUGGGACUGAGACACGGCCCAGACUCCUACGGGAGGCAGCAGUGGGGAAUAUUGGACAAUGGGCGAAAGCCUGAUCCAGCAAUGCCGCGUGAGUGAUGAAGGCCUUAGGGUUGUAAAGCUCUUUUACCCGGGAUGAUAAUGACAGUACCGGGAGAAUAAGCUCCGGCUAACUCCGUG